Non-coding RNA from Plutella xylostella (diamondback moth), 1032 nucleotides. NCBI's taxonomy places the organism in Eukaryota, Metazoa, Arthropoda, Insecta, Lepidoptera, Plutellidae. The record is from RefSeq and is a predicted model, not a curated record.
UAGAUAUGCAGGUUUCCUCACGAUGUUUUUCUUCACCGUAAGAGCGAUGGUAUACAUUGUACUUAAAUUCAAAGAACUCAUUGGCACAUGUGGGUGUUGACCCCCGUAUCUCUGGCGCGAGAAGCGGGCGCUUAUCCGACUGAGCUACACUGGUCUAUCAGUUUCAAUAUCAUUUAAAUGACUUUAUUGUUUUAAAAUAAUGUAUUUCUACACUUACCUUCUCAUUAUAGAGGCAUGGCCCGGGGGCAGCGGCGGUAUUCCCGAAAAAAUAGGAAAGCUGAAAUUUAGAAGAAAAAAAAUAUUAAAUAAAGAUAUAAGAAGAGAUGUAAGAAGGCAAGCUGACAAUGGGAUGGGUGCUUCCCCUUGGUGAUGAAAAUGCCGCACCGCCACUGUGACUAAUGCUGAUGCUGUUGCUACAAAUAGUGCUUUGCCCGACGGAAUUGAAAUUAUGUGAACUCCCAGCGCAGAGGCUGAAGCCAAAGGAGACAUGAUGGUUUUGCAGCGCGAGCAGAUACAAUGCGAUAGCAAGAAGGCGGACACCAUGGAAAUGGUAGCUGCAGCAAGAAAUACACAAACUGCUGUAAAUUAGGCCCACAAUGCCAGAUGAAUGGCAUUCAUAGAAGCAGGACUUGAGUUGUGGAAAAAUGUAGAUAGUAUUCCUAAUCGUAAUUCAUUAAUGAAUCCUACUUAAUAUAACAAAAACAUGUCUUUAAAUGCAUCAACAUGGUACCUAAGUUAUAUACUUUUUUCUAGGCUCUUGAGAAAAAGGAGGAAUAGUUCUAAUUAUGUAAUAACUUGAUUGUUACUGAAUGAUUAUGAGAAUACUCAAAGACUUAUAUGGGAAAUAAGGCUUUUAUCAUUAAUAUUAUUAGUUUUAUUAAAGCUUUGUUGUUUUCCAAGAUGAUUUAGUCAGCAGUGGAUAUCUGACUUUAGAAAACAUAUACUUAGGUAAUUUGGUUAUUCUAGGAAAGAGACUUAAAUAAACAAACUGUGAUUAAUUUGUUGUUUAAAUAAAUAUAAAGUGAAUGUGUA